AAACCCUCCUCGCACUCCGGUGAC
This 24-nucleotide non-coding RNA is filed under the name Arabidopsis thaliana (thale cress). The record is from RNAcentral. Lineage: Eukaryota; Viridiplantae; Streptophyta; Magnoliopsida; Brassicales; Brassicaceae.